AGCUUUGCGCAGUGACAUUACCGUAACCGAUGAGGUCCAUCCGAGGCGCGGUUAUUGCUGAUUGAAAACUUUUCCCAAUACCCCGCGAGACGACUUGAAACAUAGUCGGCUUUGCAAUUUUUGUGGGCCCUGCUUAGGG
Molecule: small nuclear RNA, 139 nt
Filed under: Nematostella vectensis (starlet sea anemone)
Lineage: Eukaryota; Metazoa; Cnidaria; Anthozoa; Actiniaria; Edwardsiidae
Description: U4 spliceosomal RNA
Rfam family: U4 spliceosomal RNA
About the family: U4 small nuclear RNA (U4 snRNA) is a component of the major U2-dependent spliceosome. The structure of U4 snRNA from yeast and human has been reported. U4 snRNA presents a k-turn RNA motif in the 5p-SL related to recognition of Snu13 protein.
Source: Rfam by way of RNAcentral